Heterocephalus glaber (naked mole-rat) is the source of this 580-nucleotide non-coding RNA. The record is from RefSeq and is a predicted model, not a curated record. NCBI's taxonomy places the organism in Eukaryota, Metazoa, Chordata, Mammalia, Rodentia, Bathyergidae.
CUGCGUCGGUGACGGUUGAGUGCCCCUGCUCGAGCUUGAAUAAUCAACCCUCGUGUGUUUACAUCGGAAUCGGCUCCUUGGUGGUCUUUGGGGACUUCACGAUCUGGGCACAACAACAGCAAGUCUCAGUUCCAACUAGAGACAGCAAGCAGUUGCUGCUGUUGGGCAUCGCAGGUCCAGGACAGAAAGGUCCCUGAAGGCAGGCGCUGUGUCUCUGGUUUUGUAGACUCUGGCUGAGUAUCUGGCUGGCACUCAGGGAUGUUUAAUGAAGGGAUAAAUUAAUGAACCUAAUCAGGACCUGGAGGGCUGCUUUGUGACUCUAGGCAGGUCUCCAGCCUCUCCCCCAUGAAAGGGAUAUAAAAAUACCGACUUUAUCCGGUGGAAGAUUUCAAAAACCACCUCAAUUUUCCCGCUAGUCAUUCUUCUAAACUGGCACAAAGAAUACAGCCAUGCACCUGCCUCGCAAGUCCUGAGUUCAAUCUCUGGUACCAAAAAGCCCCCCAAUUUCCUGCAAUUAUGGCAAAUUAAAACUAGCCCAGCUACAGAAUAACUCCAGUUUGGCCUCCGGUCACAACCGAGA